GACGAACGCUGGCGGCGUGCUUAACACAUGCAAGUCGAACGGAAAGGUCCUGCUUUUUUGGUUUCCUUGAGUGCCAAACGGGUAAGUAACAGGUGCGUAUCCUGACCUUUCCUUUGGGUUAACUUUAGCCAAUUGGGGGUCAUCCCGAAUAGGAGUUCCAUCUGUUUGGUGGGGGUAGGAACGUUUCGGGGGUUGGGGAUGGACUCGGGGCUUAUCUGCUGGUUGCUGGGGGAGUGGAUAACCACGGGCUUGAAGGGUAGCCGGCCUGAGAGGGUGACCGGGCACAGUGGGACUGAGAUACGGCCCAGACUCCUACGGGAGGCAGCAGUGGGGAAUAGUGCACAAUGGGCGGAAGCCUGAUGCAGCAACGCCGCGUGCGGGAUGACGGCCUUCGGGUUGUAGACCGCUUUCGCCUGUGACGAAGCGUGAGUGACGGUAAUGGGUAAAGAAGCACCGGCUAACUACGUG
Molecule: ribosomal RNA, 468 nt
Filed under: uncultured bacterium
Lineage: Bacteria
Description: partial 16S ribosomal RNA
Rfam family: Bacterial small subunit ribosomal RNA
Source: RNAcentral